This 110-nucleotide small RNA is filed under the name Blautia stercoris. RNAcentral's name for it is "HNH endonuclease-associated RNA and ORF (HEARO) RNA". It matches the Rfam family "HNH endonuclease-associated RNA and ORF (HEARO) RNA", at positions 16 to 128 of the family's 211-position model. The record is from RNAcentral. Lineage: Bacteria; Bacillati; Bacillota; Clostridia; Lachnospirales; Lachnospiraceae.
UUAAAGAGGUUAGAACUUGUAAAAGUUCAAGUUGACUAGCCUAAGUGUCUUGAACACUACGUUAUUUCUGUUAUCACACCUGCAAAUGAUACCCUAGUUUGCAGCUCUGU